GACGUAGGGCGCGAGCGUUGUCCGGAUUUAUUGGGCGUAAAGAGCUCGUAGGCGGCUUGUUGCGUCGGCUGUGAAAUCCCGUGGCUUAACUGCGGGCUUGCAGCUGAUACGGGCGGGCUGGAGUUCGGUAGGGGAGACUGGAAUUCCUGGUGUAGCGGUGAAAUGCGUAGAUAUCAGGAGGAACACCGAUGGCGAAGGCAGGUCUCUGGGCUGACACUGACGCUCAUGCACGAAAGCGUGGGGAGCAAACAGG
RNAcentral lists this ribosomal RNA (253 nucleotides) under uncultured bacterium. RNAcentral describes it as "partial 16S ribosomal RNA". It matches the Rfam family "Bacterial small subunit ribosomal RNA", at positions 524 to 776 of the family's 1533-position model. The record is from RNAcentral.